UGUGUACCCCGGUGGAGACUUAAGCAUAUCAAUAAGCGGAGGAAAAGAAACUAACAAGGAUUCCCCUAGUAACUGCGAGUGAAGCGGGAAAAGCUCAAAUUUAAAAUCUGGCGGUGUUUGGCCGUCCGAGUUGUAGUCUGGAGAAGUGCUUUCCGCGCUGGACCGUGUAUAAGUCUCUUGGAACAGAGCGUCAUAGAGGGUGAGAAUCCCGUCUUGACACGGACUACCAGUGCUUUGUGAUGCGCUCUCAAAGAGUCGAGUUGUUUGGGAAUGCAGCUCAAAAUGGGUGGUGAAUUCCAUCUAAAGCUAAAUAUUGGCGAGAGACCGAUAGCGAACAAGUACCGUGAGGGAAAGAUGAAAAGCACUUUGGAAAGAGAGUUAAACAGUACGUGAAAUUGCUGAAAGGGAAACGCUUGAAGUCAGUCGCGUUGUCCGGAACUCAGCCUUGCUUUUGCUUGGUGCACUUUCCGGAUGACGGGUCAGCAUCGAUUUUGACCGUCGGAAAAGGGCUGGAGUAAUGUGGCACCUCCGGGUGUGUUAUAGACUCUGGUCGCAUACGGCGGUUGGGAUCGAGGAACGCAGCGCGCCGCAAGGCAGGGGUUCGCCCACUUUCGCGCUUAGGAUGCUGGCAUAAUGGCUUUAAACGACCCGUCUUGAAACACGGACCAAGGAGUCUAACAUACCUGCGAGUGUUUGGGUGGAAAACCCGAGCGCGCAAUGAAAGUGAAAGUUGAGACCCCUGUCGUGGGGGGCAUCGACGCCCGGACCUGACGUUCUCUGACGGAUCCGCGGUAGAGCAUGUAUGUUGGGACCCGAAAGAUGGUGAACUAUGCCUGAAUAGGGUGAAGCCAGAGGAAACUCUGGUGGAGGCUCGUAGCGAUUCUGACGUGCAAAUCGAUCGUCAAAUUUGGGUAUAGGGGCGAAAGACUAAUCGAACCCAUCAAUGGUG
This 949-nucleotide ribosomal RNA is filed under the name Ganoderma orbiforme. RNAcentral describes it as "partial large subunit ribosomal RNA". It matches the Rfam family "Eukaryotic large subunit ribosomal RNA", at positions 24 to 953 of the family's 3401-position model. The record is from RNAcentral. Lineage: Eukaryota; Fungi; Basidiomycota; Agaricomycetes; Polyporales; Polyporaceae.